CGGCAGGCCUAAUACAUGCAAGUCGAACGGUAACAUUGGUGCUUGCACCAGAUGACGAGUGGCGCACGGGUGCGUAACGCGUAUGCAAUCUACCUUUUACUAAAGUAUAGCCCAGAGAAAUUUGGAUUAAUCCUCUAUAAUAUCUUUUAAUUUCAUGAUUUUAAGAUUAAAGUUUUAACGGUAAAAGAUGAGCAUGCGUCCUAUUAGUUUGUAGGUGAGGUAACGGCUCACCUAGACUACGAUAGGUAGGGGCCCUGAGAGGGGGAUCCCCCACACUGGUACUGAGACACGGACCAGACUCCUACGGGAGGCAGCAGUAAGGAAUAUUGGACAAUGGACGAAAGUCUGAUCCAGCCAUGCCGCGUGCAGGAUGAAAGCCCUACGGGUUGUAAACUGCUUUUAUACAGGAAGAAACACUCCGACGUGUCGGAGCUUGACGGUACUGUAAGAAUAAGGAUCGGC
RNAcentral lists this ribosomal RNA (462 nucleotides) under uncultured Bacteroidota bacterium. RNAcentral's name for it is "bacterial SSU rRNA". It matches the Rfam family "Bacterial small subunit ribosomal RNA", at positions 40 to 497 of the family's 1533-position model. The record is from RNAcentral. Lineage: Bacteria; Pseudomonadati; Bacteroidota.